AUUCCAUAUCUUCGGUAGAAAGAAGAGGAAGCUCGUUUGAUCUUUUCACAGCCCAAACAAUCAAGAUGUUUCGAGGCAAACAAGGUUUUCCUUCUCGAGUACGAUGGAGAAUGUCAC
This is a long non-coding RNA of Quercus robur (English oak), 117 nucleotides long. RefSeq lists it as uncharacterized. NCBI's taxonomy places the organism in Eukaryota, Viridiplantae, Streptophyta, Magnoliopsida, Fagales, Fagaceae. The record is from RefSeq and is a predicted model, not a curated record. The transcript has 2 exons.